AACGAACGCUGGCGGCAUGCCUAACACAUGCAAGUCGAACGAGACCUUCGGUCUAGUGGCGCACGGGUGCGUAACGCGUGGGAAUCUGCCCUUGGGUUCGGAAUAACAGUUAGAAAUGACUGCUAAUACCGGAUAAUGUCUUCGGACCAAAGAUUUAUCGCCCAGGGAUGAGCCCGCGUAGGAUUAGCUAGUUGGUGAGGUAAAGGCUCACCAAGGCGACGAUCCUUAGCUGGUCUGAGAGGAUGAUCAGCCACACUGGGACUGAGACACGGCCCAGACUCCUACGGGAGGCAGCAGUGGGGAAUAUUGGGACAAUGGGCGAAAGCCUGAUCCAGCAAUGCCGCGUGAGUGAUGAAGGCCUUAGGGUUGUAAAGCUCUUUUACCCGGGAUGAUAACGACAGUACCGGGAGAAUAAGCUCCGGCUAACUCCGUGCCAGCAGCCGCGGUAAU
This 450-nucleotide ribosomal RNA is filed under the name uncultured bacterium. RNAcentral's name for it is "bacterial SSU rRNA". It matches the Rfam family "Bacterial small subunit ribosomal RNA", at positions 29 to 524 of the family's 1533-position model. The record is from RNAcentral.